Molecule: long non-coding RNA, 579 nt
Filed under: Pan troglodytes (chimpanzee)
Lineage: Eukaryota; Metazoa; Chordata; Mammalia; Primates; Hominidae
Description: lncRNA (ENSPTRG00000053540.1)
Source: RNAcentral
UUACACUGACCACAAUCUGCGCUCAUCAUCAUCAUUAUUAUUAUUAUUAUUUUUGGAGACAGAAUCUCACUCUGUUGCCCAGGCUGGAAUGCAGUGGUGCUAUCUGGGUUCACUGCAACCUCUGCCUCUCAGGUUCAAGCAAUUCUCGUGCCUCAGCCUCCUGAGUAGCUGGGAUUACAGGUGCCCACAACUACACCUGACUAAUUUGGCUAAUUUUUUAUAUUUCAGUAGAGACAGGGUUUUCACCAUAUUGCCCAGGCUGGUCUCAAACUCCUGACCUCCGGUGAUCCACCCACCUCAGCCUCCCAAAGGGUUGGGAUUACAGGCGUUAGCCACUGCGCCUGGCCUGGGCUAAUAAUUAACAUACACACAUCUCAGACAAACAUGCAGUCAGACUCACACACACACACACAUUCUCUCUCUCUCCCUAUCUCUUUGCCACCUCGCUCACACACACACACACACACACACACACAUUCUCUCUCUCUCCCUAUCUCUUUGCCACCUCGCUCACACACACACCACACAACACACAACACACACUAUCAUUCUCUUCUCUCUCGCCAUCUCUUUGUUGUC